GUUCCUGUCAUUCAGCAUUUGCCGUGAGUGCUCUCCAGAGCCUGAGGUGUGUGUGCUGUUUGCCCCCUGUGCUUCCGCAGACACCUCAAAGGGCUUCUGUCAAUCUGGCCACAGAGUCAGAUGGCCAGCAUACUACACGCACACUAAACGUGCUCAGAUCCCGACUCCCUUUACAUACACGCGCUGCAGAGAUCGAGAUGUUUAUGGACAGGCUCGAACUCGUGACCUGACCCCAGCACAUAUUAGCCUCAAGCUUCUUGCCCUUGCUUUCCUCGACUGUGAAGAUGGGAUCUGAUUCCCACUCUCUCCCUCAAGUGUCAGCUGCCAGAAUCAAUGUCCAAACGUUACAUCCGGAAAUGUUCUUCUGUUAAAGGACUGUGAACCCGGACCAGCGCAGACUGGAUUGAGGUAGCCAAGAGUCCUCGGUGGAGGCGCCAUUCUCCAUGUGCUUUCUUUGGUUAGAGUCUCGGUUAAGUUUCAAAGAACUGGCAAGUACAGAGGGAGGCUGCUGUGGUAGAUGGACAAGAGACGCCACCAGCCUGCCGCUGGUUCUUACUAUGUGUUCGGUGCUGCUCUGUGACGUCACAGCAGAUGUGUCAGUCAGUUCCUGCCUUGGAGAGCUUACGGUCCAGCCAGGGCUAAUCAUCACCCGGAGCAGCAGCGAGUGGCUUAUCGCUGUGCAGAAACCCGGAAGAUCUAGUGAAGGGAUGUCUCCCCCAAUGCCUUGUUUGGGUUGAUGUCCAGAAAUCUCUAACCUGAGGGCAACAAAACUCCACAGUAAAAUCCAGAGUGAGAGAGCAAUCUGUUUUCCUCUACUCUAUGGCCAGGACAGAGAAAGACCCUCAGUUCCAUCGAGUCAACUGUAAAUGACCCAUCGCAGUACAGAAGCAGGAAGAAGGACCAAGCGCCCAGUUCCUCAAGAAAACAGACAGUCUCCUGUUCUGCUGCCUUUUCGCUGCACGGUUAUUGAUUUUCAGCUCACCCUGCAAAGCUGUCCAUCUCAGGAUAAAUGUUGACUUGGCUCAAAGCUCUGCAGACUGGGAAGUCUAAGCCUUCUUCUUGGAUGGAAGCAUCAUGAGAAUGUAGAAGUCAUUUGUGAGAAUCUGAAGACUUUGGGACACUUUGCACCUGCUGCUGAAGAUACUUAAUGUGGGACAAUGUGAACACAGGCACAUGGUACUUAAUGUGGGACAAUGUGAACACAGGCACAUGGUACUUAAUGUGGGACAAUGUGAACACAGGUAGGUACGGGUACAACAGUAGGAAAAGGAAGGAGUUCUGGAGAAUGUUAGGCCGUGUGGAUUGGGUUUAAC
Peromyscus leucopus (white-footed mouse) is the source of this 1313-nucleotide long non-coding RNA. RefSeq lists it as uncharacterized. NCBI's taxonomy places the organism in Eukaryota, Metazoa, Chordata, Mammalia, Rodentia, Cricetidae. The record is from RefSeq and is a predicted model, not a curated record. The transcript has 5 exons.